Molecule: ribosomal RNA, 253 nt
Filed under: uncultured bacterium
Lineage: Bacteria
Description: partial 16S ribosomal RNA
Rfam family: Bacterial small subunit ribosomal RNA
Source: RNAcentral
GACGUAGGGCGCGAGCGUUGUCCGGAUUUAUUGGGCGUAAAGAGCUCGUAGGCGGCUUGUCGCGUCGACUGUGAAAGCCCGCGGCUCAACCGCGGGUCUGCAGUCGAUACGGGCAGGCUAGAGUUCGGUAGGGGAGACUGGAAUUCCUGGUGUAGCGGUGAAAUGCGCAGAUAUCAGGAGGAACACCGCUGGCGAAGGCAGGUCUCUGGGCCGAUACUGACGCUGAGGAGCGAAAGCGUGGGGAGCGAACAGG